RNAcentral lists this long non-coding RNA (2407 nucleotides) under Zea mays. Its description in RNAcentral is "drought responsive lncRNA". Lineage: Eukaryota; Viridiplantae; Streptophyta; Magnoliopsida; Poales; Poaceae. The record is from RNAcentral.
CGCAGACCGCCGGACGACUCCAAGGCCGGAUCUCCGUGCAGCCGUGCAGGGCAUCACCCACAAGAAGAAGAUCAAGCUCCGGCGAGUACCUCUUUCCAUCUCCUGUCGCUGCCUCUACCAUAUCUAUCUAAAGGAACAAAUUUGAGCGCAUCUUCUGUUGACAGUGACUUUAGUUUGCUAUUGGUGCUCCAGUAAGAAAAAUAGAUGUAUUUUGUUGAUGGUGGCUUCACAAUCUGGCACAUGACUCAUGAAAAGCUUUGUUUGACAAACUAUUGUGAAGGAACAAGUAUACUGUCUUUUACUACUUCAGUUUGCUUGACAAACUAUUGUGAUGAUGGAUAAAGUGUGAUGUGAUGAUGGAUAAACCAAUUUACUAUGCUUCAGUUUACUUUGUUUGAUUUUUCCUGAUUUUUUGAAGUAUUAUUUAUAGCAUCACAUAGCUAUGGAUGAACCAUUUUCUGAUGAUGGAUAAAGUUCUCAUCCAAUAUAGUAGUAUAGAGUUGCUGCUGGCUAUGUUUUGGGACUAAAACAGCUUUGGACUAAAUCCUUGGUUGCCAAAGGGUGGCAGGAAAUUAUAUCCUAGUGGGGAAAAUCCUCCAUGGAAAUCGAGGUGCCAUUUAAAUCUCAUUGGUGGAUUUUUUUUCCAUGGGUUUUUUCCCUAUUGCUGCCAAACCAGUCCUCAUAGAAAUUUUUCUCAUAUGGAACGAAAAUAGCCAACCAUUAAUUGUAGUAGACUCGGACCAUCAUUGACAAUAAUACAUAUUUUGUAUUUCAAAGAUACUUGUCCACUUUUGACAUUCUGAAAGGAACCUCCUAAAUUUAUAUCGAAAUUACCAAAUCUGCCAUUUUGAAAAUACCCUAAAGUGAACCCCCUAAAUCUUCCAUCUAAAUUACUCACCUAUAUCAUUGUGAAAGAUGAUUUGAACUAUUCGCUAAAUUUUCAUCUAAGUUGCCCCAAUUUUAAUGUUAUUAAAAUAACCAAAAGUAAGCUAAUAAUUCUACAUCUCAAUAUAUAUCCCAAAGUCCUCCUACAUAUGCUUCUAGGUUACCCACUUCUACAUUGUUGAUAUAGAACUAACUCAAGGUAAACAUGCAUGAUACAUACGACCAUUGCAUCAUGCGGACCACAUCAUAUCAAUUUCCAUGUCAAACACAGCUCAAACUAAGGUACGGAGGUGCUACGCAAAGGGGAAAGCACGUAUGGGGAUGGAAAAGCAUAUAGAAUAGAUGGUACAAGUCCAGAAUUGAAUAAAGAUAAAAGUAUCUAUGAAUAUUUCGUCAUAAUAUGAACGAUAGAGAGCAGAGAUACGCUAUUCUGAAUAGCACUAGGAACAAAUUUUAUCCACAAACUUCUAACAAUUAUGUCCUUUUAAAAUUAUUAGCCCGUGUAGAAGCAACACAUUGCUUGAUGGGCUAGUUAUGAUAAUCACCCACUCAACCAAAAGCUGAAGGUAUCACACUGAAGCGAUCAGAUUGCCUCAGUCAACACUGUCAAUUCAAGUCCAGUUCAAUUGGUUCACCAUUAAGCACUACUAUACUCAACAAUGACAUGUAGUUUAGGCAUGAACCAAUGGCACCCAAUACUCCAAUAUGCCUACAAGCACCUCAAAACUUAAAAGGUUCUACAAGCUAAUUCACAUAUUUACAGGAGAUAUAAAAGUUAAAUCUUCAGAAGAAAUUUCGAGCAGCAAGCAUCCACAAGCCCUAACUUACAUCUGAUAACAUCAAAUUAACACCACAUUUCAAGUAACAGGCAGCUGUACUACUUUUGUUUCUUAAACAAUAAAUGUGAAAAGUGACCACUUCACAAGUAUAGAUUUGUGAAGAAGCUAAACAUUAAAAUUAAUGGCCAACUACUGUAUGUUGCUUAUGAUGGGUACAGUACAAACAUUACCUGACUGUAGAAUUUCUCAGGAUUUCCCUCACGGAGAUUAUGAAUGUCAAGGGCAACUUUUGCAUCACAACCGAUACCUGUCACCAUAGUAAGCUAAGGUUAUUCGACAAGGAGCGCCGAUAAACGAAGUUUCUGUGUACCUACCGAGAUAGUUGUUCAUGUACUUUACUAGAAGCACAUUCUUUGAUUUCUUAUCUUCUACUGUCACCUUCCAUCUAUCAAGGAUAGUGACUGCUGCAUGCUCUAUGUCAUGUAAAAUUGUGCAAAGGCCACCUUGCUUCUCAACAGCACCUAGGCCACCUCCCCAUGAUAAAACUCUCGAAAGAUCAUUGCCAGUGCCAGCUGGAAGAAUUGCAAUGGGUGGAGGUGAUUCAUAAUUUUGCUUAUCUAUCGCGUCAAGAACCCAACCAACAGUACCAUCACCACCACACACAAGUAUUCUGAAAUGUGGUACCUUUCUGAACAAAAAUAAUCCUGUUUCUGGCCCUUGUGAAGAACUUAAUUCAAAAACCU